AAUCAACGCUGGCGGCGUGCCUAACACAUGCAAGUCGAACGAGAAAGUGACUUCGGUCACUGGAUAGUGGCGUCCGGGUGAGUAACACGUAGGUAAUCUACCUUCGGGUGGGGAAUAACUCGCCGAAAGGCGAGCUAAUACCGCAUAAUGCAGCGGCACCUAAUGGUGAUUAGUUGUUAAAGCGGGGGAUCUUCGGACCUCGCGCCUGAAGAGGAGCCUGCGGCAGAUAGCUAGUUGGUGAGGUAAUGGCUCACCAAGGCUUCGAUCUGUAGCUGGUCUGAGAGGACGGCCAGCCACACUGGCACUGACACACGGGCCAGACUCCUACGGGAGGCAGCAGUGGGGAAUUUUGGGCAAUGGGCGAAAGCCUGACCCAGCAACGCGCGUGAAGGAGGAAAUCCUUCGGGAUGUAACUUCAUAAGUAAGGAGAAAGCUGCGGAUUGAAUAAAUCCGCAGUCCGACGGUACCUUACGUAAGCCACGGCUAACUACGUGCCA
Molecule: ribosomal RNA, 497 nt
Filed under: uncultured bacterium
Lineage: Bacteria
Description: bacterial SSU rRNA
Rfam family: Bacterial small subunit ribosomal RNA
Source: RNAcentral